AGAGCGAACGCUGGCGGCAGGCCUAAUACAUGCAAGUCGAACGGAUCCUUCGGGAUUAGUGGCGGACGGGUGAGUAACACGUGGGAACGUGCCCUUUGGUUCGGAACAACUCAGGGAAACUUGAGCUAAUACCGAAUGUGCCCUUCGGGGGAAAGAUUUAUCGCCAUUGGAGCGGCCCGCGUCUGAUUAGCUAGUUGGUGGGGUAAAGGCCCACCAAGGCGACGAUCAGUAGCUGGUCUGAGAGGAUGAUCAGCCACACUGGGACUGAGACACGGCCCAGACUCCUACGGGAGGCAGCAGUAGGGAAUCUUGCGCAAUGGGCGAAAGCCUGACGCAGCCAUGCCGCGUGAAUGAUGAAGGUCUUAGGAUUGUAAAAUUCUUUCAGCGGGGACGAUAAUGACGGUACCCGCAGAAGAACGCCCGGCUAACUCGCGCCAGCAGCCGC
Molecule: ribosomal RNA, 445 nt
Filed under: uncultured bacterium
Lineage: Bacteria
Description: SSU rRNA
Rfam family: Bacterial small subunit ribosomal RNA
Source: RNAcentral